Molecule: transfer RNA, 71 nt
Filed under: Capra hircus (goat)
Lineage: Eukaryota; Metazoa; Chordata; Mammalia; Artiodactyla; Bovidae
Also listed under: 1 other name
Rfam family: tRNA
About the family: Transfer RNA (tRNA) molecules are approximately 80 nucleotides in length. Their secondary structure includes four short double-helical elements and three loops (D, anti-codon, and T loops). Further hydrogen bonds mediate the characteristic L-shaped molecular structure. tRNAs have two regions of fundamental functional importance: the anti-codon, which is responsible for specific mRNA codon recognition, and the 3' end, to which the tRNAs corresponding amino acid is attached (by aminoacyl-tRNA synthetases). tRNAs cope with the degeneracy of the genetic code in two manners: having more than one tRNA (with a specific anti-codon) for a particular amino acid; and 'wobble' base-pairing, i.e. permitting non-standard base-pairing at the 3rd anti-codon position.
Source: Rfam by way of RNAcentral
UCCUGGUGGCUCAGAUGGUAAAGAAUCUGCCUGUGACACAGAAGACCCAGGUUCAAUCCCUGGGUCAGGAA